CCUCUGAGGUCUUCAAAAAGAGGCUGCUCAUAAUCAUAGGAUCAGUACACAUUAAAACCUGCAGAUACCUCCCCAUUUCACUGAUGAGCAUCUAAUAAGGCAUGAAAUCUUGCCAGAGAAUAUAAGUGAAGUAGAAGAAACACCAGGAGUUUCUCAGAUAACCUCAUUGUGUGGCUGGGAAUCAUAUUGUAUGUCUAAUCAUGUAAUACUACAGUAUCUAAAGAAUUAAGUGGAGAAUCAUCUGGAGGGUAAUAGUCACAGGGAAGGCGGAAUGUUAUAUCUAGAAAUGACUGUGAUACAAAAACAAAAGACAUCAAUAACAUUUUGGGAGAUUUUAAGGGGAUGGUGUAGGAGGAAACAUGAACAAAGACAAGGAGAUGGGAAAGAUCAUGGUAUGUAUGGAGGAUUAAGUCUGCAUUGGAAUUGCUAUGAGACUAUUGUGCAUACCAGCCAAGCAAAUGUAGUGCUUUGACUAUUGUUGACUGAUUUGAAUGCGAGAGCAUCAAGAGAAAGGCGAGACUCGGGCUAAAUUAAAAUGGAUACAAUGAACUAUAUUAUCU
Molecule: non-coding RNA, 560 nt
Organism: Phascolarctos cinereus (koala)
Lineage: Eukaryota; Metazoa; Chordata; Mammalia; Diprotodontia; Phascolarctidae
Source: RefSeq, a predicted model, not a curated record